UCCGACUCCCGCCCGGCCUCCCCGGGACCCCGGGACCCCGGGAAAGGAAGCCCGGCCACUGCUUUGCAGUCGCUCCGGCGACUCUUACAGGUUGUUGCACCGGGAGAUCCCAUCUACGGUGAUAGCGCCAGUGUUGAGUGAAACACAGAAACCAAAUGAGAAGAUGUCUUCAAGGAACAACUGCUAAUGAGUCUGCAGAGUCGCCUGUGUGUCUUUCAGCGUAGUCUCCACUCAGAGCUGAGUGAGUGGCCCCAUUGAUGAGUGACCUGCUGCCGGCUCUGGACCAAAGCUGUUCUGUCCUUCCCACUGACUUGGAACCAGUCUGUAGAACCGGAAGCAGAGAAAAGAAGCAAUCAGACUUCCCUUUCAAUCAACUCGUGACAUUUGACUCCAGAGACAGAGGCACAGUGAAAUAGUUAUCUGACGACCAUCCUCACUUUGAGGGCGCACAUCGUGGAGCUUCCUGUGUGAAGAUUUGGAGCCUUCGUGGUGCUUGCUCAGGCCUUGGACUGAGCAUGAGUGAAUUCUGGCUGUGCUUCAACUGCUGUAUUGCAGAGCAGCCUCAGCCUAAGAGGCGACGACGGAUUGACCGAAGUAUGAUUGGGGAACCAACCAACUUUGUGCACACAGCUCACGUAGGAUCCGGAGACCUAUUUAGUGGGAUGAACUCGGUCAGCUCCAUUCAGAACCAGAUGCAG
This 698-nucleotide long non-coding RNA is filed under the name Rattus norvegicus (Norway rat). RNAcentral describes it as "long non-coding RNA NONRATT005433". Lineage: Eukaryota; Metazoa; Chordata; Mammalia; Rodentia; Muridae. The record is from RNAcentral.